AGUCGCAAUUGGCAAGCCCAACGAAGGGAUCUAUUCCAGCAAGGACACGGACUAGUUAGGAUAAUAGGGAUAUCAGGCCAAAAUAAUAAAACACAAACUGAAGAGUCUUACCACUUGUACUUACAUAGGAACUAUAUGGUUCUAAAUAUUUCAAGGGUAACCAGGCAAAGGGAAAUUAUUGGUUUUCCAAGUGGACGCAAUGCAACUCUGCAAUUACAUCACAAACAGAAGUGACUCUGGUUAAGGAACCUAUUUUACAGCCCCCCCCUGGAACAUCGAAGGAUUCGACUUUUCGGAGAAACUCCCCUUUUUGACCUCAAACGGAAUUUUAGCCUGCAAUGCCGAUGUACAACUUGCGUUCAACUAUUUUGCAACUUGGUGCACUUUGUGGGGGCGCUGCAAAGUAUGCUAUGGCAAUUGUCGAAACGCCAGGAGUAAUUACAACUAGGCACAGGACUACACGGGGAUACACAAGGAUGUACACACACAAACACACACACACAGAUAGACACGAAAUGCUGUUGGCUUUUGUUUUAUAGAUCUUUAAAGUAGAUAUAUAUAUAUAUAUACCCAUGUUGGCCUCUGACUCCUGA
Drosophila suzukii is the source of this 593-nucleotide non-coding RNA. The record is from RefSeq and is a predicted model, not a curated record. Lineage: Eukaryota; Metazoa; Arthropoda; Insecta; Diptera; Drosophilidae.